UACAGAGGUCUCAAGCGUUGUUCGGAUUCAUUGGGCGUAAAGGGCGCGUAGGCGGCCUUCUAAGUCGAACGUGAAAUCCCUGGGCUCAACCCAGGAACUGCGUCCGAUACUGGAAGGCUUGAAUCCGGGAGAGGGAUGCGGAAUUCCAGGUGUAGCGGUGAAAUGCGUAGAUAUCUGGAGGAACACCGGUGGCGAAGGCGGCAUCCUGGACCGGUAUUGACGCUGAGGCGCGAAAGCCAGGGGAGCGAACAGG
This 253-nucleotide ribosomal RNA is filed under the name uncultured bacterium. RNAcentral's name for it is "partial 16S ribosomal RNA". It matches the Rfam family "Bacterial small subunit ribosomal RNA", at positions 524 to 776 of the family's 1533-position model. The record is from RNAcentral.